Molecule: long non-coding RNA, 449 nt
Organism: Mustela lutreola (European mink)
Lineage: Eukaryota; Metazoa; Chordata; Mammalia; Carnivora; Mustelidae
Exons: 3
Source: RefSeq, a predicted model, not a curated record
UUUCUCCAAUAUGUUGACCUUAAAAGUAACCUGUUUAAGAUGGUAGAGUCAUAGAGGGCAGGAGCCUGAGUCCUUGAAUCACUGCUAGAAGCUUCGCAGAAUGCAAGUAGCUCAUUGGGCAAAUGGUCCCAGGAAAGGCUGAAGAGGCCGAGUUGACAGGAGACAACGGUUGGGAGAAAGGGAGAAAGGGUGAUCGGCGUGUACAAUCCCCUGUGGGCACAGGGAGCUUCACCCAGAGAGAGGACGGCAGGAUCCAGAGUGGAGCACACUUUAGUUAUCCCACUCACACACAGAGUGACCUUCUGUGACUUGGGAAAAAGCCCCUGUGGAGUUGCAAGUUUGGGCAGUUGGAAGACUGGCUGGCUCUUUUCAUCCUUUCAAUGCAGCGCAGUUUCCAAGAGGGGCAGUGUCUGACCAACCCAACAAAAGUGGUUUCUUCGAACCCAGGU